RNAcentral lists this ribosomal RNA (577 nucleotides) under Codariocalyx motorius. RNAcentral describes it as "eukaryotic LSU rRNA". The stretch from base 199 to 354 matches the Rfam family "5.8S ribosomal RNA". Lineage: Eukaryota; Viridiplantae; Streptophyta; Magnoliopsida; Fabales; Fabaceae. The record is from RNAcentral.
GAUGGCCCAAAACCAGUUUGACCGCGCGAACAUGUUUAUCCUACCAUGCGGGGGCAGCCGUGCGUGUCGCGGCUUCCCCUCCACUAACACAAACCCCGGCGCCUCGUGCGCCAAGGAAUCCGAAAUUGUUCAGUGUGCGGCCCCGGGGAGUUGGAGACAGCUUCCCGCGGGUGCCCGUCACAACAUGCGAAAGAGAAUGACUCUCGGCAAUGGAUAUCUCGGCUCUUGCAUCGAUGAAGAACGUAGCGAAAUGCGAUACUUGGUGUGAAUUGCAGAAUCCCGUGAACCAUCGAGUCUUUGAACGCAAGUUGCGCCCGAAGCCAUUAGGCCGAGGGCAUGCCUGCCUGGGUGUCACACACUGUUACCAACCCCCGCACGCCAAAGGUCUAACAAGCUGUUGGCGGGGGCGGGCGGUGGUGCACGUUGACCUCCCGCGAGCGGUGUCUCGUGGUUGGUUGAAAAUUGAGUUCGCGGUUGAGUGUGCCGUGAUAAAAAUGGUGGACGGGGCAGAUCCCCGAGACCAAUCACGCGCGAUCCUUUCCGUUGGACCCUUGGACCCUGCGGCGUCCUUGGACGC